AUACCCGCAGCCCAAGUGGUGGUCGUUUUUAUUGAGUCUAAAACGUUCGUAGCCGGUUCAUUAAAUCCUUGGGUAAAUCGGAUGGCUUAACUAUCCGAAUUCCGGGGAGACUGGUGAACUUGGGACCGGGAGAGGCAAGAGGUACUUUUGGGGUAGGGGUAAAAUCCUGUAAUCCUAAAAGGACCACCGGUGGCGAAGGCGUCGUGCUAUAACGGAUCCGGCGGUGAGGGACGAAGCCCUGGGUCGCAAACGGGAAUAGAUACCCCGGUAGUCCAGGGUGUAAACGCUGCAGACUUGAUGUUGGAGACCCUUCGGGGGUGUUCAGUGCCUGAGAGAAGUUGUUAAGUCUGCUACUUGGGGAGUACGGCCGUAAGGAUGAAGCUUAAAUGAAUGGGCGGGG
RNAcentral lists this ribosomal RNA (400 nucleotides) under uncultured bacterium. RNAcentral's name for it is "partial 16S ribosomal RNA". It matches the Rfam family "Archaeal small subunit ribosomal RNA", at positions 473 to 873 of the family's 1478-position model. The record is from RNAcentral.